Triticum aestivum (bread wheat) is the source of this 5847-nucleotide long non-coding RNA. RefSeq lists it as uncharacterized. The transcript is spliced from 7 exons. NCBI's taxonomy places the organism in Eukaryota, Viridiplantae, Streptophyta, Magnoliopsida, Poales, Poaceae. The record is from RefSeq and is a predicted model, not a curated record.
GAGCAGCGCGAGGAAAAAAACAGAGAAAAAGGGCAGGAGGCAAUGGGCGCGUCUCCCCCGCGACCCUCAUCCCCUCUUGCCGCCGCCGGCUCCUCUCCUCUCCCCACACCUUGUCUGCCUCCCUCUCCGUCGUCUUCUCUCGCCCCAGCCGUCUUUGUCCUCUCCUGCGCCGCCAGCCCCGGAUCUGGAGGAGGAAGAGGAGAACCGGGCGUCCUGGCGGUGGCUCGACCGGCGGGCACGGAGGCAUGCUUCUCCGGUGGCGGUCAACAGCGGCGUCGGCGGUGCGGGUUGAUUCACCGCCUGAAGCGACCAACGGCCAGCGAGGAAGAUGGCUUGAGGAGGAGCACGGGUCAAGGGGAGCCUCCUUCGAUCCUACAAGGCUCCAUCUCGAGCACUUGAACGCGACACCAAGGACGGUGUCUCGGGAGGACGACGACAGUGGUGUGCAGCCUGGAACCCUAGGCUUCUCUGCUCCAUACCCAUGGUCGAGCUGCCACGUCCUUCGCCCAGAUUUGGUGCAGGUUUAACUGAACUCUUGAUGAUGUUUUGUCAGCAAACACACCGAGACGUUGGAAUAAAUUGAUGUGGUGUACAAGGAGCUGGCUUUACAGUCUGGCGUUAAGCACUGGGGAGGAGUUCCUUCUUUAGGUGGUGAGCUCACUUUCAUUUGAGAUCCUGUGGGUGUUACCGUAAUCAUGCCUUAUGUUGGCACAAUGGCAGAUUCCAACCUCAGAGGCCUGGUAGGUGGCAAGUACACCACAGGACAUGCAAAUGCAUUCUCUCUAUUUGUUCAUUCAUGUUUUACAUCUUACUCGAUCAUGUUGGCAUCCAGUAAUCUUAUAUGCAUGUGGUUUCCUCAACCUGGAGUUAAAUACAGGCUGGUCAUGAAUGAGCUUAUAAGUGUUUCUAAUGGUCUUUUUAUGCAUGAAUUAUUCAGUUAUUUGAAUCAUGGGUUUGUUUUGGUAUAUGUUCCUUCGAUGGUGACCUGUUCAGUUGAACUUUUGACAGGCUAGCUUUUAAAUGGGUGUUUUAAUUUUUUUAUGGUGUUGUGUUUACAUCACUAAACAUGUUUUUAUAUACUUGAUCUAUGAUGCAUUUUUUUUGAAAAUUACUCGGUGCUCAUUGAUAUUAAUUUAUGCUUCAAAAUGCCAUUUCUCCUACAGCAUUGUGAAUCUAAACUGUAUAGUGUAUGCCAGUAGUUUUUGCUAUUGAUUAGUUUCCUAGGUAGAACAGAAGAGCAUAAAACCAUACAUGUAACCUGCAGAUUCAGUUACCAAUUUACCAUCAAUAUCAUUUGAUUCUUCUUGGAACUCAAGGUAGUGGAAGUGCACUGCUGUCCUGUAUAUGCCCGAUAAUUUUUUUUAUUCUGUUAGUUAUUCAUAUGGAAAUUCUAGCAUAAGGUGUGUUAGGAACUUUAGUUUUUUUACACAUUCGUUCAUUCUUAUCAAAGUCGCGAACAGUUUAGCUUGAAUCCAAUGACUUUAAGAAGUUUAGAGAUAUUUUCUUAUAAAAUAUUACUGUUUAUUGCCCCCUCUGAUCAACAAUAUUAUUCACCAUGGUAUAUAAUGUGGUACAGAUUUUUCUUCUUCUUUAACACAGACGUAUUUAGAAGUAUCUACAGUUGAAACAUGGAAAUGAUGCAAUGAAAUUAGUAACAUUUGUAUACGUGAACUUUGUUUCCCUGUGGGUGCUAAUUUUAUGUUCCAGUCCAAACCUGUACAAGUAUGAUCUAUAAAAGUAAAGCAUUUUUUGUAAUAUUAAUUUGUGACAUUUGUAAUCUUGCAGCCUAUUUGUUUGAGCACUGCACAGGCAAGGACACAACCUCGGGCACCAAUCCAUUCUACCUUGCACAUCUUUUCCUGCAUUUACAUUUUUAUGUGCUUUCAUUGGUCAUGUUCUGUGUGUUUUGGGCUGACCCAAUGCAUUUCAGUUAAUCUAUAUGUACCGUUGUUUGUUAUUUUAUAUACUUUCAUGCAUUUUCUAUGCCUGAUCUGUUUCCUAUGUUCUUUCCAUUUGUGUUGCAGAUCAUGUCACUCUUCCACUGUCUUGUUGGUUCAUGUACUGUUGUUCGUUGCCAAAGUUUGUGCUUCCUCUUUUCAGUUCUAUUUUCUUUGGAUUCUGAGAUGCAUAAUGAUUGAAUGUGUUUAAGUUUGUCCGUUUCUGCCAUGUGUUUUGGGUGACUAUGUACAGUUUAUCUAUUCUAUCUGGUGCAUCUUGUGCUAAACUUCUCGCUGGAUGUGCUCUAAUUGGCUAUCGCAUGUGUGCUCUAGCCUAAGCCAUUGCAUUUGAAGUUGUCACUUUCUGAAUUUUUCAUGUUCCUGCUUGCAUGCGCUGCGAUUGGUUAUAUGCAAGGAAGAAUGGUGUCCUGUUCUUUUUAUUUUUAUUUUUUCAGCCUCCACGUUCCCAAUAUUAAUUAGUCACUUGGUAGAAUUCUUAAUCUGUGUAUUUUCCAUGCCUGAGUUGUUCUUGCUUUGUUAUUUUCUUUUGUAUUACAGGUCUUGUUGUUGUGGCACUCUCUUGUCAUCACACGCGCUGCUGUUUUUGACUGCCAAGAUUUGUGCUGUAUAUAUUAUAGUUCAAAAGCUUUUCGUUAUGCUUCCUAUCUCGAAAAUAAGAAUAGCUCCAUGGGUGAGAAAGGGUGCUCCAGAAGGGCCAGAAAUUUGGCCAUUGUAAAUUUGGACCAACACACAUGAAUUUCAUCACCCAGAAGGGCCAGGACUUGGUGUUUUUUCAGAGACACCAAGCAUGUAUCCACCAGCGCAACAAUUGCAUGUCUCUUCCAGUUGGCAAUUGGGAAGGCUUUCUGUUCUACCAGGAUCAUUUUUCUCAGGCUCUUAUCCUCCAAAUUAUGCACCCAUCUAUAGUCAUGCCGAUGUAGUAAUGGAACCCUUACAUGGUAAGUUUCUAAUAUUGUAUUCCUUCUCAUUUUAAACGUUGUGCUACAAAUAGUAGGCCAUCGAACAAGGGUGUUUUAUAUUAAUCUAGACCAAAGUAUAAAAAAAUAAAUUUGUAGGGUCUGUUAUUAAUGAUACAACCUUUACUGUCUAAUUUCAGGAACUCACAAUGUAUGAGGAGCAUUGUGUUGUAAAACAAGAUUACAAAAAUGACCCAAAACAUGACUUUGUUCUUUUGUGCUAUGAAGAUUGUGAUGCAUUGUCAGAAAAAUAAAACCUGCUCUGAUGACUUCAUUCUCCUUUAUUUUCUUAGUCACCUAUGAACCAAGUUGUGUCAACUAGGGCACAACAAACUGUUCUUUUUUUAGAAGAGACAACAAACUGUUCAGGCAGGACCAUUUGGCGUAUCACACCGAGGGCCUCCAUCCGUAGUUGCUUAUGGUAGUAAUUAUGCAUCGUUGUCUUCUUCAACAUGGCCUUCAAGUGGCAAACAAGAAAUUGCCUGAUUUCUCAUGUUUUAAUUUAAGCUUUGUAGCCACUUUGAAGCUUGCUUGCUACAUAUUUGACAGUACCUACAUUAGAACCAAAUAUGUCUUAGUACAUCCAUUAGAACCAAAUAUGUUUUAGUUAAGUGAUGUUCCUGAGGCCUUGCUCAUACAUAUUCAUGUUUUAUUAUCAAUCUCUAAACUACUCUUGCAUGGUUUGAAUGCCUGGUUUUCUCUUGGUUUUUGCGUCAGGGGCGCAAAGGGUCAUACUCUGUCGCAUAUAAGAUAUGUUGCAGAUCACCUUAAUGAUGCAACUUAUAAUUAGAGAACAUUCUACAGGAACCAAACAAGUAUUAUUAGGGGUUGGAUGAUGGUAUGGAAGGCAUUUUUAUUUUUGGCAAUGGCAACCCACCAGACACACCCACCAUGAAGAGCUACUUAGAUGAUGAAGUCAUAUUCGAUACCGAUGGCAUCUGCAACGAUGACUACGUGAUAUUCAUCACUACUCACCACGAGCUAAAUGAUCGAAGCUGUCUAUAUGCAUAACCUAUGUGUAGCUUUCUUGAUAAACGUAGUAUAAAUAAGCUAUCGUAAUCUAAUCCCAUGCCUUUCUCAUAAUGCUAUAUAUCAAUUUCAUACGAAAAUAUCUAUUCUCUUAUGAUCCAAUCGGCAUCUAAAUAUUCUUACGUGCGUGGUUUGAAUGCUUGGUUUGUACAAUAUUUGUCCCCUUAUUUCCCUGAUCUUUUUAGUUUUAGUUUCUGUUGCCGCAGACAAGCAAUUCAAAUGCAGAGCUACAUCAAAGAUCCGCGUCAAAUAAUUAGGCCAAUAUAAAUAACAAAAUUUGGGCGUAGUGUCGUAGUCGCCUCCAUCCUGUAGCAUCUUAGCUCUUUGUACAUUUUGAUUGUUCAUUUUACUGGCUCCUUCAUUUUCGUCUGCUAGCUCAAUGAUUUGUCAUUGUUAUAAUUGGUUCCUUUCUGUCACUGCUGGUCUUGAACACAUACUGGUGGCAUCCGAUGGGACAAAUUCGACUGGUCUCUAUCCGAGAGGAGAGAUCCGGGGGAAUGUGUGUUGAGGCUCUCAUCAUGUUGGUACAUGGUGAAUGUUCCAUCAAGUUGUGGAUGGCUCUAAGGCAUGUGACACCAAUGAUAGAUACUCCUGCCGUGUCAUGAAGCUCAUUAAGUGCUACAAAAAUAUUUCACAGGGGUAAUUGUUUCUGUUCUUCACCAAUCUACCGUGUCAGAUGUUGUUUUAUUAUUGUUUGUUCUUCGUAGGCAUAGCCUAUUAAUUAUUCACUUGUCCGUAGGUAUGUAUCAUGGCUCUAAGUCACGCACAUGAGAUUUGAGACUUUUUUGGGGGCUAAUGAUAAAUAUUGUUGGUGAUAAGGAGUGUAUGCUUAUGUGCUGUACUUUUCAUUAUCCAAUAUAUGGAUAAUAUUUAUCAUUGUCAAAAGAGUGCACCUCGGGAUAAUGGUUAUGAAAUAUUUUUCCUAUAUUAUUAUGUACUUCAACCUUUUCAUAUUUCAAAGUGGUUGUGAGAAUGGCUAUGAAAUUGAAGAGGCGGCCAGAGGAGGUAGUGAGGGAGCUGCUCCUUCAUCCUCCCCUCCAUACUGUCGGUAAUACAUUAUUUUCUCUCAUAGAUUUAAAGUGAUUUUUUCUGUUGUUGCAAAGCAUGGGUAUUUAAAAAGCUGCAACCCAGUAACUUUGAUUUUCAUAGUCUACUCUGCCUUCUGCGUCUACCUUGUUGUAUAAGAGACCAGUCAGCACUAUGUAUACCAACAAUAACCACACACAUGAAUUCUGAUUUGUGCACAAGGAAGCUCACAAAUUUGUGUCCAUCUUUUUCGUAGUAAUCAUAUUGCUUGCAUAUUUUAUUAGACUGAUCAUAGUCACGAUGAUCAGACAGAUAAUAUUUGGUAGAGAAGAUUAGAAGAAACAUUUAUAUCAUAUUUUUGUAUGUUUUUUCUGUAGAAAAGGUACCAUGGGUUGAUUGUGUUGGAUCCCAUUACUAUAUGAUGUAUUUGACUGCUAUUCCUAAGAACUGCUCCUGGACACAGUGCUCUAUGUUGACAUGUCUUACAUUUUAUUGUGUCGCCUAUCUGUAUAGUUAUUCGGAUCUUACAUUUUUGUAUUUUUGUCGAUGCAGGUGUGUUCUUCCUACUAUAAAGCAACAUGGAUUUCUUUAAAUUAAAUUGUGCAUAUUAUGGAAAAUAAAUCUUGUGUGUCUAUAGUCAUGUUCAUCUGUCACAAAUCCAUGGUGAAAUAAACAGGAGAAUACAUGCUUGCAGAAGUUGUCAAGAGGCUCCAUUUAACCAUCAAAGACCAUGAGACCUACGAAUCCAGUGAUAGAGAUGGACACAAUCUCUCCUUGUGGAAGGACAAUGUAUCAAUUGCCAACAAAACCAAACAUUUCAUCCUAUCUUACCAUGUAGUACUAACUUAACUGCAAUGUAUCACCUGUGUCAAAAACUA